AUUGAACGCUGGCGGCAGGCCUAACACAUGCAAGUCGAACGGUAACAGGAAGCAGCUUGCUGCUUUGGUGACGAGUGGCGGACGGGUGAGUAAUGUCUGGGAAACUGCCCGAUGGAGGGGGAUAACUACUGGAAACGGUAGCUAAUACCGCAUAACGUCGCAAGACCAAAGAGGGGGACCUUAGGGCCUCUUGCCAUCGGAUGUGCCCAGAUGGGAUUAGCUAGUAGGUGGGGUAACAGCUCACCUAGGCGACGAUCCCUAGCUGGUCUGAGAGGAUGACCAGCCACACUGGAACUGAGACACGGUCCAGACUCCUACGGGAGGCAGCAGUGGGGAAUAUUGCACAAUGGGCGCAAGCCUGAUGCAGCCAUGCCGCGUGUAUGAAGAAGGCCUUCGGGUUGUAAAGUACUUUCAGCGGGGAGGAAGGGAGUAAAGUUAAUACCUUUGCUCAUUGACGUUACCCGCAGAAGAAGCACCGGCUAACUCCGUG
This 490-nucleotide ribosomal RNA is filed under the name uncultured bacterium. Its description in RNAcentral is "partial 16S ribosomal RNA". It matches the Rfam family "Bacterial small subunit ribosomal RNA", at positions 30 to 507 of the family's 1533-position model. The record is from RNAcentral.